Molecule: transfer RNA, 76 nt
Filed under: Chloroflexota bacterium
Lineage: Bacteria; Bacillati; Chloroflexota
Also listed under: 2 other names
Description: Chloroflexi bacterium tRNA-Gly
Rfam family: tRNA
About the family: Transfer RNA (tRNA) molecules are approximately 80 nucleotides in length. Their secondary structure includes four short double-helical elements and three loops (D, anti-codon, and T loops).
Source: RNAcentral
GCGGGAGUAACUCAGUGGCUAGAGUAUCUGCCUUCCAAGCAGAAGGUCGCCGGUUCGAAUCCGGUCUCCCGCUCCA